This 1497-nucleotide ribosomal RNA is filed under the name Triticum aestivum (bread wheat). Its description in RNAcentral is "partial small subunit ribosomal RNA". The record is from RNAcentral. Lineage: Eukaryota; Viridiplantae; Streptophyta; Magnoliopsida; Poales; Poaceae.
AUGAACGAUAUACUAUGUGCUCCGUUCUUGGAGGAGGAGGUGUCCGAUGCUUUAUUUCAGAUCGGUCCCCUCAAAGCGCCAGGGACGGAUGGUCUCCUGGCGAGAUUUUUUCAACGAGAUUGGGCAGUGUUGAAAGCUGAAAUUACAGCUGCUGUGCUGGAGUUCUUUAGGUCAGGUGCUAUGCCAGACAGUGUCAAUGAUACGACUAUUGUUCUUAUUCUGAAAAUCCCUUUCCCCAAGGAACUUAAGGACUUUAGACCGAUAAGCCUAUGCAAUGUCAUUUAUAAGAUCGUUUCAAAAUGUUUGGUGAAUAGGCUAAGGCCAAUGCUGGCGGAGUUAAUAUUGGGGAAUCAGAGUGCUUUUGUCCCCGAAAGACUUAUUUCGGAUAACUCUAUAAUUGUGUUUGAAUGCAUUCAUCAUAUACAGUCGCUGAAACAAAACAGGCCAGCGGCGUAUGCUUACAAGCUUUAUCUGUCAAAGGCAUAUGAUCGUGUCGAUUGGGAUUUUUUGGAAAAUGCACUUCCCAAAUGGGGAUUCGCUGAACAGUGGAUAUCGUGGAUUAUGGUGUGUGUCAGAUCAGUAAAAUACUCUGUCAAAUUCAAUGGACAAUUGCUGGAGAGUUUCUUUCCUUCAAGAGGACUAAGGCAAGGUGACCCUUUAUCACCGUUUUCGUUUCUCUUCGUUUCUGAUGCUCUUUCUGCUUUAUUGUCAAAAUCAGUGGCUGAAGGUGCCUUAAAGGGGUUAGCAAUUUGUCGAGGGGCACCAGUUAUAUCCCACCUGCUUUUUGCGGAUGAUACUAUGCUGCUAUUUGAGGCUUCCGGCCAGCAGGCGCACAUUGUCAAGGGGCUGUUGAACACUUAUACCUCAGCUACGGGUCAACUCAUUAACCCAGAAAAGUGUUCCAUCCUUUUCUCAGACAACUGCUCUGCUGUGGUGGUAGAUGAUGUCAAGAGUAUCCUGGAAAUUAAGCAGCAAGUGUUCGAACCUAAGUAUCUCGGCCUUCCUGUUCCGGAAGGAAGAGUGCACAAGGGACAAUUUGAAUCCCUACAAGAAAGGUUGAGGAAGAGAUUAAUUGAUUGGAGUGAACAAUAUGUCUCAAUGGGCAACAAAGAAAUCUUGAUCAAGGCAGUAGCGCAAGCAAUACCUACAUAUGUUAUGAGUGUAUUUCGGCUACCGGCCUCUGUGUGUGAUGACUUAACACGUAUGAUGAGACAGUAUUGGUGGGGAGUAGAGAAUGGAAAGAGGAAAAUGGCCUGGCUCAGCUGGGAGAAAAUGAUCUUACCCAAGGAUAUGGGGGGCAUGGGUUUUAGAGAUAUGAGGGCGUUUAACCGGGCGCUUCUUGCAAAACAAGCCUGGAGGUUGCUUGAAAGUCCUGAUACUUUAUGUGCUCGUUUGGUACGAGCUAAAUAUUAUCCCAAUGGGAAUCUGCUUGAUACACUCUUCCCUUCUGGUUCGUCUGUUGUAUGGAAGGGAAUCAUGUACGGUCUCGAUCUUUUG